UACGUAGGGUGCAAGCGUCAAUCGGAAUUACUGGGCGUAAAGCGCGCGUAGGCGGCUGCUUAAGUCGGAUGUGAAAUCCCCGGGCUCAACCUGGGAACUGCACUCGAUACUGGGCGGCUAGAGUAUGAGAGAGGGAGGUAGAAUUCCACGUGUAGCGGUGAAAUGCGUAGAUAUGUGGAGGAAUACCGGUGGCGAAGGCGGCCUCCUGGUUCAAUACUGACGCUGAGGUGCGAAAGCGUGGGGAGCAAACAGG
RNAcentral lists this ribosomal RNA (253 nucleotides) under uncultured bacterium. Its description in RNAcentral is "partial 16S ribosomal RNA". It matches the Rfam family "Bacterial small subunit ribosomal RNA", at positions 524 to 776 of the family's 1533-position model. The record is from RNAcentral.